This 252-nucleotide ribosomal RNA is filed under the name uncultured bacterium. Its description in RNAcentral is "partial 16S ribosomal RNA". It matches the Rfam family "Bacterial small subunit ribosomal RNA", at positions 524 to 776 of the family's 1533-position model. The record is from RNAcentral.
UACGUAGGUGGCAAGCGUUGUCCGGAUUUACUGGGCGUAAAGAGCGCGCAGGCGGUCGUUCAAGUCGCGUGUGAAAGCCCCGGCUCAACUGGGGAGGGUCACGCGAUACUGAUCGACUGGAAGGCAGGAGAGGGUAGUGGAAUUCCCGGUGUAGUGGUGAAAUGCGUAGAUAUCGGGAGGAACACCAGUGGCGAAGGCGACUACCUGGCCUGUUCUUGACGCUGAGGCGGCGAAAGCUAGGGAGCAAACGGG